UUGUUAACAUUGUCUAGAGGUC
This 22-nucleotide non-coding RNA is filed under the name Rattus norvegicus (Norway rat). Lineage: Eukaryota; Metazoa; Chordata; Mammalia; Rodentia; Muridae. The record is from RNAcentral.